Long non-coding RNA from Cydia amplana, 204 nucleotides. RefSeq lists it as uncharacterized. The transcript has 2 exons. Lineage: Eukaryota; Metazoa; Arthropoda; Insecta; Lepidoptera; Tortricidae. The record is from RefSeq and is a predicted model, not a curated record.
CAGACAGGUCGCGAUCCAAGCAUGUUUCUACAAUAAAUUAUAAAUUAAUUUUUGGCAAGCCGGAGAGAGAGGCCCAACUGACUAUCAGGGUAUGAGGGCCAUCAUCUAACAUUGACAAAGAUCCAGUAUUGGAAAAAGUUAAAGUUCUUGCUGGACCUGUUCUGGAUGGUGUUUACACAAUUUAUGAUGGAGAUAGCAGUCUUA